GCUGGCUGCGCAUGUCAAGCUCGCCUGCUUGGCGACCUGUCUCUUUUGGAUGUAGCUCGUUUGUCGGGCUCGCUGCGUUUUCUUGCGUUCCGUCUGCAUUUCGACACGGCACUGCUGCACUACUGGACUGACAAGCUGAUGGCAUCUGGUGGGGCAUCGUAUGGCAACGACUGCUGCUUACGUGGUGCCACAACUUGGGAUGAAUGCACAAGAAGCCCGGGACGAGAAUUUAUAUAGAGCAAAAUAAACAUUUCAUCAUUUCAGAA
This is a long non-coding RNA of Dermacentor andersoni, 266 nucleotides long. RefSeq lists it as uncharacterized. Lineage: Eukaryota; Metazoa; Arthropoda; Arachnida; Ixodida; Ixodidae. The record is from RefSeq and is a predicted model, not a curated record.